GUCAGGGGCGCGGGCCGGGAGACUUUCUUUGUGAAACUCCGUCGGUGCUAGUCGGGCCGGGCCUCCGCCGCGGACGAGCGCCCGCGAGGCGGGACCCUCCCCUUCGUCCGGGUUCCAGCCCCGCCUCGCGCUACUCGGCUGCUGGACCUGGUCUGCCGCCUGCCUGCCCCAGGUUCCGCGGGAGUUGUGUGUGCGCGCGCGCGCGGGGUGUGUUUGUUGGGGGGGUCGGGGGAGGUGUACAGUCGGCGCCCGGCGCCUCUCCUUUGCUUCUGUCCCCGCGGGGUGGCGGCUGCCCCCCAUCAGUGGCCCUCGUCCAGGUAGACGGCAGCCACUGGGAGACAGGUGUCGGUGCAACCCGAGGUGGCUCAGGUGCAGACAGCCUCAGGUGGAAUCUCGGGGAGUAAGCUGCCCGUCUCAGAAGGAAGCAAGUCUGUUGGGCUCCAGAAGUGUGUUGCCAGGAUGGAUGUUCUCAGGAGAGAGUCUUGAAAUAUUCCAUGUGUGGGAAAAUGACUUUCCAUAUAGAUGCAAAUCCAGAUAUAAACUUGAAAAAGCAUGUGAAGAAGUUAUGUUCAACAAGUACUGCAUUUCAAAGGCUGCCUUAAAUUUAGAGAGAGUUGUGUAUCAUGUUGUAGCUUAUGUAGUGGUCAAAGUCAUGGGAUCUACACCUUAUUGUGCCACCUGUAAAGGAAGAACGCUACCAUUGCCUACUUCACAGGGUUGUUGUGAGGAUUAAAUGAGUUAAUACAUAUAUGUUAUUUAAACCAGUUCCAGGCACGUAGGAAGUGCUAAAUAAAUGUUUGGUGUGGUU
Molecule: long non-coding RNA, 808 nt
Organism: Manis pentadactyla (Chinese pangolin)
Lineage: Eukaryota; Metazoa; Chordata; Mammalia; Pholidota; Manidae
Exons: 2
Source: RefSeq, a predicted model, not a curated record